CCUACGGGGGGCUGCAGUGGGGAAUAUUGGACAAUGGGGGCAACCCUGAUCCAGCCAUGCCGCGUGUGUGAAGAAGGCCCUCGGGCUGUAAAGCACUUUCAGUGAGGAAGAACGCCUGGUGGUUAAUACCCAUCAGGAAAGACAUCACUCACAGAAGAAGCACCGGCUAACUCCGUGCCAGCAGCCGCGGUAAUACGGAGGGUGCGAGCGUUAAUCGGAAUUACUGGGCGUAAAGCGCGCGUAGGUGGCUUGAUAAGCCGGUUGUGAAAGCCCCGGGCUCAACCUGGGAACGGCAUCCGGAACUGUCAAGCUAGAGUGCAGGAGAGGAAGGUAGAAUUCCCGGUGUAGCGGUGAAAUGCGUAGAGAUCGGGAGGAAUACCAGUGGCGAAGGCGGCCUUCUGGACUGACACUGACACUGAGGUGCGAAAGCGUGGGUAGCAAACAGGAUUAGAUACCCGUGUAGUC
This 465-nucleotide ribosomal RNA is filed under the name Vreelandella stevensii. RNAcentral describes it as "partial 16S ribosomal RNA". It matches the Rfam family "Bacterial small subunit ribosomal RNA", at positions 338 to 795 of the family's 1533-position model. The record is from RNAcentral. Lineage: Bacteria; Pseudomonadati; Pseudomonadota; Gammaproteobacteria; Oceanospirillales; Halomonadaceae.